AUUUGCCAGAACAACUCAUAGAACUCAGGAAAGUGCUAUACUUAGAAUCACAAUUUUAUUAUAACAAAGGGAUACAAAUUAGAACCAGCCAAAGGUGCCAGCACAUACGGCAGAAUCUGGGAGGGCUUCAAACAUGAAGUUCCCAUGUCCUCAGGGAUGUGUUACCCUCCUGGCAUCAAUGUGUGACAAAAUGCACAGAAUAUUGCUAAACCAGGAAGCUUACCUGCACUUUGGUGUCCAGAGUUUUUACUGAGGCUUGAUCACAUAGUGCCCAUAUGGCUGACCUUCAGUCUCCAGCUGCUCCCAGAGGUUGGAGCUGACGUGGUGUGUCCCAACCCACCUCAUAGAUCACAUUGUUAGACUGUUGGGUGACCGAGCCCCCAGGAAAACAAAGACAGUUCUAGGAGGCAGGACAUCCCAGGGGCCUACAGAUCCCCUCCCAGUAGCCGAAAGCAAAGGCCAGACAUGUCUCUGGUUAAUUCUUUACUACACACCAUGCACCUGCUGAUAGACAUUGAGAGAGCUGCCAGUUUGGGGCUGUUAGGAAUUAAGCUGAUGGUACAGGCAACAACAUAGGUGAAUCUCAAAAACAUUAGGCCAAGUGAAAGAAGCACAUCCUUAUGAUUCCAUUCAUAUCAAACCAUUGAAAAGGCAAAUCUAAUCUAUGGUGAUGGUAGGACAGGCUACAGCUACAUGAUUUGUGGGGCCUGGUGCAUUUUAUUGUAUGCAAAUUACACCUCAAUGAAGUUGGUUUUUAAAAACCCUACUCCCACUGACUGAGCCCUGCCUCUAUGCCAGCCAUUUUGCUAAACAUUUUACAAUAUUAGUGCUUUUAUGCUCAGAUAGCACUGCAAGGUGGGCAUUAUAAACCCUAUUUUCCAGAUGAAGACAUUGCAGCUUAGAGAGAAAAGUAGCUUGCCCACAGUAUCACCUGGUAAGUGACAGGUCUGAAUUUGAACCCAGGCCUAUUAGGCCCCAAAUGCCCUGAACCAGUGUCUGCCAGCACCCUGUUCUCUACUCAGCUCCUCCCUGGGUUGUGUUUGGCUUUUCUGUUGUGUUUUUCUGGAUCUUUCUACCCUCUACAAGUCCCUAAGUUCAGAGAUGGCAUCAACACGGAAAAAAGGUGUCCACUGUGGGGUCCAUUUGUGCUCUCCUUUUCAGACUUUUUCAUAUGCAUAUAUCUUCAGACACAAGUACGUAAAGUUUUUCUUUUGUUAUUUUUUAUAGAAUGGGGAUCUUACUGUACAAACUGUAGCAUGAUUUUUUUUUUUCAUUUAACAAUGUUUUAUGAGUUAAAAUUUCCUGAACUCUUAGAUGGUGUUAUCUGAGUUACUCAUUGGUUGCUCUUUCAGGGCAAAGAAGGAGAGAAAGUUUUAAAGUUUUCUGAAGUGUCUGCUGUAGAUGAUAACCCUGCUGUCAGUCCUGCACAAGGCUCUCUUAUUGAGAUUUAGGAUGGUUGUAACUUCUCCAAACUGACACGAAAGGAGAAAUCCUUUAUCGAGUACAUUCAGCUCUGUUUUUAGAGUGGUUGUAUUUUCUUAAGGACAACUCUAAAGGGUAAAAUAUGAAAUGUUUGACACUAAUUUUAUAUAUAUUAUAUGCUAAUUUAUAUCUACAUCUCUAUAUAUUUAUAUCUAUGUCUAUCUAUCUAUCUAUCUAUCUAUCUAUCUAUCUAUCUAUAUCAUGAACUUAAAUAUUCUCCAAGAACCUCUUUAAAGGCUGCCUGUAUCCCAGGAUGUAGGCAUGCUAUAAUUUAUUUAGCCAAUUUCCCUUUAUUGCAUAGCUCACCUCCCCCUAGUCUUUGAGAAUUAUAAAUCAUGCAGCAAUGGACCCAACCACACAUAAAUGUUGUAUUUUAACUUUAAGUACUAACUAAAAUGAGUGUGAAAUUUGUCAGAAAAGACGAAGAAUUUAGAAGUUCAUGGUGGGGGGCAGUUUGCGGGAGGUGGUCUCAGGUUAGAUGGUGUCUGGGCUCCUUAAGAACAGAAACAUCCCGGGCUCACCCACAGAUGUGGCAGCACUUCUGCACUAAAUCGAAGUCCACGUUGGUUCUUCGCAGCUUAUAGUCCCAUAUGGUUUGUUGGUCUCUCAGGCAGCUCUCUGGGUCUCACCCUGAUAUUUUUGGUCUGAGAAAGAGGCAAAAUCUGCUGCCAAGAGGAAUCACAGAGGUGCAUCAAAUCCUACAGUUCUGUUUUCAUUUUCCUGCAGGCAACCUGUUGCAAUGUUGUCUGCGUGACAAUAAAUAGAACAUACGGACGAAUUUUAAAUUCUCUCUGGGAUCAGACAUCGGUGAGGCGGGAUCUGAGUUUAACCCAGUGCGAGAGUAAACUGCACAAAAGGAUCCUGGCCACAAUCAGAAGACAGAGCUCCCCGUGGGCCGGUGGGUGACAGGGCUGCCCACUGAGGGGAGCACACAGCUGCGAGGCCACCCAUGUGGGUAGCAGAUGCUGUGAGCACUCAGCUUGGAUUCCCUUGCAUCCCUCUUACCCAACUUCUCUUCGUAUCCUCAUGUGAUGGAGAGAGAGAGAGAGAGAAAGAGAAAGAGAGAGAGAGGAGAGAGAGAGGGGAGAGAGACACAGCAGGGGUUGGGGGAGAGAGGGAGGGAGGGAGAAAGAGAGAGAGAGAGAGAGAGAGAGAGAGAGAGAGAGGGAGAGAGGAGCAAGCUUUCUGGUGUCUUUUCUUAUAAGGACACUAAUCCCAUCAUGAGGGACCCACCUUCAUGACCUCAUCUCAACCUAAUUACCUCCCAAAGGCCCCCCCCCCCCAAUACCAGCACAUCUGGGGCUAGGGCCUCGACAUAUGAAUUUGGGGGGUGUAAUGAGUCUAUAGGGGUGCCCUCACUUGGCAUUUUCUCCUUUCUGGUCAUGCUUCUCUCACCCCUUACGCCUUUCACCAGGGAGUACUUUCUUAAUAAAUCGCGUACACACAAGUCCCUGUCUAGAGUCUGCUUCUGGAGAACCCGAGCCAAGGUACCGUGCUUGUGAAAAGUGAACUAGAAAAGGUGUUGAAAGAGCUUUACACAGCUUAAGCCAGCAGCCAUGGGAGGACCGAGUGCGGUCAGGGCAGAGAAACGGCUUGGAACAGCGUGUGCUGGGGAGGAAGGCCACCACGAUUGCGCAAGGAGUUCUAAAGAUGUAUCAACAUUUGCUCCCAAGUAGGGAAUAAAUUGAAAUCCCCACCUCCUCUUCCGCCUCCCAUCCCGCCUGUCUCUCUGGGUUGUGCUUCUCAAAUGGAUUGUUCACACACACCCCUCCGCAGGGAUGUGUGAGCGCAUGUCGGGAGUGCAAGAAACAACAGGAUCAAUAUGAGACUUCUUCAUGGAGUAUGGACUUCACUUAAAAGUUUCUGGGGUAAACAGUAAUGUACUCUAACCAAUAAGUAACUUAAAACACUGGCUUAAAAAAAAAAAACCCAGAUAGACAAUUGAAUUUAAAAUUCAAAUGGAUUUUUAAAAUUUAAUCUCCAGUUGUUACUGACCCCUUUGAGACCAUACUCCAGAUUUUCAAGGAACUGCAAUUUUGUUGGUGGACCUAACUUAAAAAACACCCUACAUUUUCCAGCUUCCCUAGGAGAGAGGGUGGCUGAGUGUGAGUUCUGGCCAACGAGACCCUGGAAGCGACCACAGGGCAACCAUGGGGAAAAUGCCAAGAACUGGCUGAGACCUCUGUCCUGUUAUCCUUGAGUCCUUGAACCACGCCCUUAAGUGCCUGUCUCUGAACUUUUUGUAACAAGAGAAAAAUAAAACUCCUAAUUCAUUUAAACCACUGUUUUUCAAGUUUCCAUUAUACCUGAUGGCAGUUCUUCAUUGAUACAAUAUCCAACGCUGGGAGAAAUUUUCAACAUUUCUCAGUUGUCUGUGAACUUUUACUUUCUGUCUUUCACCUUUUACAAAAAUGUCACUGCCACGUCUUGAGUCUUCGAGUCUCAUCUUAUCGUGCUCUAUUUGAGGAUGCUGAAGGAUGGAGAAAAAGCUGAAGGGAUCAGAUGCCUGGGCAGGAGAAGGAAUCCACCCAGAUGCAUCUAAGAAUGAAGACCCAGGGCCCCCUGUCCACGAGCAAGGGAAAGCCCGUGUGACUCUCCUUAUCCCAUCUUCCCACCUCCUCCAGCUGCCCUUAUGAAGUCCACUAGAAAGCGGGGAGCCUUGGGGUAACAUAGACGUAGUUCUGUUCGUCUCUGUAUCCUUUACUAGCCACGUAUCUCCUAGUUUCUCAUCCCUAAUCGUACCAACUUUACCAUAUUACUGGGCUGAUGACACGUAAUAAUGCAUAUUCGGUGCCUGCACAGCCCCUGCCUUCCCACAUAGCACCACCAACACCACACGCACAUAGACGGCAUUGUCCUGUACAAUUUUCAACUUUUAUUUAAAUGCUAUCAUUUCUAUAUCUCCUUUGGCAACUUGUGUUCACGCAACAUUUUCUUUAUGCAUAUUGAUAAGCGUAGCUGUGUAGUACUCCGUUGCAUGAGUAUAUCAUGAUUUAUUUCUUCAUUUUGCCUACUGAUGGACAUCUAGGAUGGUCUCUAUUUUUCAUUCUUACCAACAGUGCUGAAUGGACACUCAUAUUCACGUAGGUGAGGGUAUCUACCUAAAGAGGAACUGGGGGCCUUAGAGAAUUAACACCUGCAACUUUAAUAGUGCUCAAUUUCUCUCCAAAGUAGUAGAUCGAUUUAUUCUCUCAUCAGCAGCAUAUAGACAUCCUCUUGCUCCACUUUCUUGACAACACUUGGUAUUCUUACUUUUUUUCCUUUUUGUCAACUAAUGGGUAGGCUUUGGGGGACCCUAACCCAUAAGACUACUGCUCCUUUCCCAAGCUCUGAGCCAAAUGGGAAAUAAGACAAAGGGCUCGGCAGAUGGAGAAGCAAACACCACCUUUACCGGCAAUAAAGUUGGGUUACAAUGAGAGCCAGAGAACUUGCUAGGCCCCAGAACAGCCCACUCGUGGAAAGAUUGAAUCUGCAGCAUAAUCACACUUACCUGGGCUGCUGGAUCGUGCUGGUUUAGGUGGCGAGGGAGAGCAAAAGAGACCAAACUCCUUGCAUUCAGGAUCUUUUUUAGAUAAGUUCCACCCAGCAGAAAAACAUGGGCCAAAGACCCCCCCAACUAGGUAACUCAUUCCAUCUCCAUGGGGAGGGGGAAGGGUAAGACAAGAGGCUGUGAAUAUUUAGGGCAAUCUUCCUUUUUAAAGUCAACAUCAGGAUUGGGGAAGAAACGUGUUUCUCUCAGCCAGUAUGAAAUGGCAUCUUUGUUUCUGGUUGCAUUUCUCUGAUUGCUGGUGAGGUUGAGCAAAUUGUCAUGAGUUUACCAGCCACUGAAGCUUCCUCUUCCGUGAACUGCCUAUUCCUCUUCUUGACCCAUUUUUCUGUUGUGUUGUUUGUCUUUCUCUUACGGAUUUAUAUGCAAUAUUUAUCUAUUCUUAACACCAAAUUUCUGUCAGCAAUACAUAUUGCUAAUAUAUUAUCUCUGUCUUUGAGUUGUGUUUUCACUUAUUUGAGAUGAAAUAGAAGUAUGUGAAAACUGAAGUUUUUUGUCUUAAUGUAGUCAAAUACUUUUUCAAUCCUUCCCUUUAAGGUUCAUGGUGUUUGCGUCUUAAGAAAUUCUUUACUUCCUUUUACUGGCUAUGGUAGCAAGAGUUUCAGGGUGUGUAUGUGCUCAGUUGCUUCUGUCACAUCCCAAGGAUGGGAAGCAAAAGUCUGUAGUUCUGAGGGCCAACCCUGGAAAGAGGAAAGGCAUGGAGGAAGAAAGAGAGAGAGUUGGAGGACUGUCGGCACCAGCCCCUACACUGAGCUAGUCCUCAACAGCACGAUUUCUAGAGUUCCGCUGGACUCAGGCCCCAUAGCCCCAGGAGGAUGCUGAGUCACGAUCCCUGGCCCCUGGGAUAAGAGAGCUCCUCAGGCCACAGCAACCAACAGGCCAGGGAAGACCUCUGUCCUUGGGCAUGAGGAAUCUCUUAAGACAGAGAGGCCAAGAUUCCCCUGGAGCAUGGUAAGGACCGCGCACAGAAAGUAAGCACACUCUGAAGGCAACUCUGAAUCUUUGUCCAGGAUGGUCCUUUCCUUUUAAGGACAGAGUUUUUCCCAUCCACAUUGGGAAUUGUCUUCCCGCGGCCUGCCUCUGAGAGGUUUGGGGAGGUGGCAGCUGAGACUCGACAAGCUCUGUGUCCAUCCAGGUAAGAAGGGGUACAAGGGGACCUGAGUGGGCUUGUGAAUUCCAAGUGAGCUGAGAUGGCUGCAAGGAUGAGCCAUCUCCCGGAAUAGGAUGUGGUAAGGAACAUUGUGCUGAAUUUUCAUCUGGAGGGCUAUUUUCUCCACAUCAUCACUUCUGCUCACGCAUUCCCCGAGAUGCCUCUAACGAAAUCAUCUUCCCUCUCUCAUCUGCAGCUUCUAAGUCUUGAAGUCACCUGGCACCAGCACCUCCUGGGCUGUGUCACCACCUCCCCCUUUUCACCCAGGAUGAGCUCAAUCAGCACCAAGCUGACCUGAACCUCCAGGCUACAGGAGGUUUCCCUCGAUGGUCUUCUUCACCCGGCAUGGACCGGCCCUCCAUCCAAGGACGGUUCUCCAGUGCCUUAUCCUCUCUUCUAAAUAGGUGUUUUCUUCCCAGCCCUUCCCCCCACCAAACUCCUUAUUACUUCUUUGUUUUUUAAAAUCUACAAUUUUUUCCCCCUGGGAAAGAUUCACCCUGAGCUAACAUCUAUUGUCAAUCUUCCUCUAUUUUUUAGUAUGUGAGCCACCAGCACAGCAUUGCUGCUAACAGAGUCGUGUGGGUCCAUACCUGGGAACUGAACCCAGGCUGCUGAAGCAGAUCACGCUGAACUUAACCACUAGGCCACUGGGGCUGGUCCCUUCCUCUCUUUUUUUUUUCCCACCCCAAAGCCCAGUACAUAGUUGUAUGUUGUAGUUGUAGCUCCUCCUAGUUCUUCUGUGUGAGCCGCUGCCACAGCAUGACUACUGACAGAUGAGUGGUGUGGUUCUGGGCCCGGGAACCAAACCUGGGCCACCAAAGCAGAGUGUGCCAAACUUUAACCACUAAGCCAUCAGGGCUGGCUCCCACCAAACUCUUGAUAAUUUACAUCACAACCCAAAUGGUUUUUGCUACAGUUAGCAGAUCAUUGAUGUCAUCUUCCCAGGGAUGCAACAAUCUUGCUUCUCAUCAGCUCCCACCUCCCACCUAGCCCCAGCCCCUCUUCCCCAGAGUCCUUGUUCCCCUUCGGUGAACCCAAUUUAGCUGAGACACAUCAGGGGGUGCCAAUGGUCUGUGAAUUAUGGUGAGUUUCCUAAAGGUUAUGGGAGUUGAACGGGAAUUUCCCUAACAUAAUCGAAAGGAAUUAUGAACACAUUUUAAUAUAAUAAAAGCAGAUUUGUGUAAUGUGUAAUGUGUCUGUUUCUUGCCCCAGGGAAGGCCUGGCUGGCUGGAGCUCUGCCUUCCCUCCCUGACCCUUUUUCUCCCAUCUUCAUCCUGUAGUUUGUCAUGGUAACCAGUAGGUGGCUGCAAUUAUACAUACCCGCACAUGUGUGCGCACACACACACACACACACACACUCUCUCUCUCUCUCUCUCCAAGCUAUUCAUUUUCAUUUACAAAGUUGCCAAAAAUAAAUGAAUGAGUG
RNAcentral lists this long non-coding RNA (7605 nucleotides) under Equus caballus (horse). RNAcentral describes it as "lncRNA (ENSECAG00000057294.1)". Lineage: Eukaryota; Metazoa; Chordata; Mammalia; Perissodactyla; Equidae. The record is from RNAcentral.